RNAcentral lists this ribosomal RNA (301 nucleotides) under uncultured bacterium. RNAcentral's name for it is "partial 16S ribosomal RNA". It matches the Rfam family "Bacterial small subunit ribosomal RNA", at positions 509 to 807 of the family's 1533-position model. The record is from RNAcentral.
CAGCCGCCGCGGGAAUACGUAGGGUGCAAGCGUUAAUCGGAAUUACUGGGCGUAAAGCGUGCGCAGGCGGUUAUAUAAGACAGAUGUGAAAUCCCCGGGCUUAACCUGGGAACUGCAUUUGUGACUGGCCGGCUAGAGUAUGGCAGAGGGAGGUGGAAUUCCACGUGUAGCAGUGAGAUGCGUAGAUAUGUGGAGGAACACCGAUGGCGAAGGCAGCCUCCUGGGCCAAUACUGACGCUCAUGCACGAAAGCGUGGGGAGCAAACAGGAUUAGAUACCCGAGUAGUCCCUGUCUCUUAUAC